RNAcentral lists this ribosomal RNA (282 nucleotides) under uncultured bacterium. Its description in RNAcentral is "partial 16S ribosomal RNA". It matches the Rfam family "Bacterial small subunit ribosomal RNA", at positions 15 to 291 of the family's 1533-position model. The record is from RNAcentral.
GAUCCUGGCUCAGGAUGAACGCUAGCGACAGGCUUAACACAUGCAAGUCGAGGGGCAGCACGGGGUAGCAAUACCCCGGUGGCGACCGGCGCACGGGUGAGUAACACGUGUGCAACCAACCCCGUACCGGGAGAUAACCCGCGGAAACGUGGGCUAACACCCCAUAAGACCUUUCCCCCGCAUGGGGGGGAGUUUAAAACCCCCGGUGGUACGGGACGGGCACGCGCGACAUUAGGUAGUUGGCGGGGUAACGGCCCACCAAGCCGACGAUGUCUAGGGGUU